GGGGCCGACUUGGAUUUGACAGCGAGACGGUAGGCCUUGUAAGCAUGUCGAGAUUUGUGUUUUAGCUCGUAAAAACUAAAGCUCAUUCCUAUUUAAAAGGAGAGAAUAACUACGCACUUGCUGCUUAAUAAAGACUAAGUCUUAUAAGCUUUAUCUAGGGUGAACAACAGUAGCCCAGACAAGUGCCCCGCAUUUCGGAUGUCCGUGCCGGUUUGCAUAUGGGGUAUCAUGAAGUUGGAAUAGCUAGAUAGGGGACCUCGAUUAUUUAGUAAAAUUAAGAGGAUAAGUUAUUGCUCGGGUGUUCCUUCCCAGGUGAUAAUCGAAAAUCAAUAAGAGAACUAAACAUGUAGAAAGCAUUGAUUAUCCUUGUUUGGACGUGGGUUCGAACCCCACCGGCUCCACUA
This 404-nucleotide transfer-messenger RNA is filed under the name Flavobacteriales bacterium. It matches the Rfam family "transfer-messenger RNA". From Rfam's summary of the family: Bacterial tmRNA, also known as 10Sa RNA or SsrA, is named for its dual tRNA and mRNA-like properties. Its role is to liberate the mRNA from a stalled ribosome. To accomplish this part of the tmRNA is used as a reading frame that ends in a translation stop signal. The record is from RNAcentral. Lineage: Bacteria; Pseudomonadati; Bacteroidota; Flavobacteriia; Flavobacteriales.